UACAGAGGGUGCAAGCGUUAAUCGGAGUUACUGGGCGUAAAGGGCGCGUAGGUGGUUGUUUUAAGUGAGAUGUGAAAGCCCUAGGGCUUAACCUAGGAACUGCAUCUUAUACUGGGCAACUGGAGUACUGUAGAGGGUAGUGGAAUUUCCGGUGUAGCGGUGAAAUGCGUAGAGAUCGGAAGGAACACCAGUGGCGAAGGCGGCUACCUGGACAGAUACUGACACUGAGGCGCGAGAGCGUGGGGGAGCAAACAGG
This 256-nucleotide ribosomal RNA is filed under the name uncultured bacterium. RNAcentral's name for it is "partial 16S ribosomal RNA". It matches the Rfam family "Bacterial small subunit ribosomal RNA", at positions 524 to 776 of the family's 1533-position model. The record is from RNAcentral.